CCUCGACUUUAGGACACUGAGAUCCAUUUUAGACUUCUGACCCACAAAACCAAAACCUAGUAAGUAUGUGCUGUUUGAAGUUGCUAAGUUUGUAGUAAUUUGUUAGAGCAGCCACCAGAAAUUUAUAUGGGGAGGAAAUGGGGAUUUCAUCUGUCCAUGGUCAAGACAUUCAGGGUGUGGUAAGAAUCUGAGCCUGCCUCACCUACAUGAGAAUGAGAGAGUAAUGACCACAGAAUAGUGGUAAUGGCAGCCCACAUAUCUGGCUCCUUAGCCACUCAUGACAACAUGGACUGGCUGCCUUCUAUGUCCUGCCCGUGGCCAUUCUUUAGGGAAAUUCCUUUGCAUCUCCUGCUACCUUUACAGACUACAUAUCUUGUUGGAUUACUUUCUCAUUUUCAUGAAGCAUAUCUUCUGGUAACUUCUGAUAAAAGAUGCAUAGGAGAUACAUAUUUUAGGACUUCUGCAGUACCAGAAGGAUAGUUGAGCUGGGUAUAGAAAUGCUUUGUUAGUUCUUCCUACUCUCUGUUUUCUUUCUUCUUUAUUUUUGGAACUUGAUACUUAUAUGAGCUUUCUUCUGCCCAUUUAAUCUGUGUGUCCACCAAUUGGCUUUGUUCUAUCUGUUUUGAUAUGUCUUUCCUGAGGCAUCUGCUGAUCCUAUGCUUUCUGCCCAUGAUGAGGAGCUGACUAGAAGAUCUGACAGUAAGAAAGGAGGGAUACAUUGUCCUUGAGCCUCAUGGAUGGGGAUGAUCCUGAGAACCUUGGAUGCCAGUUAUCUUUAGGAACCGACCUGAUUACCAGAGAAGUUACCCAAGGAGUAAGGGAGGGGUCUGGUUGCCAGUCUUCUUGGAGUCAACGUGGAGUUGAAGGAAGGGGUCUUUGAAGUCAGCUGCCUGAAUUCUGGGAAAUAAACUUCUGGACUUUUGCUGGCGUUGGGGAGGAGUGGUCCCUCAGGGAAGAUAAGGAGGGUAUAGGAAUCUAACUGGGUCAUAGGCCCCUUUCACUCUAGCCUUCCUGAUCAUAGCCACCCUUGCACCCCAAGUCCUAGAGGUACUCUUACACCCAGCCCUCAGUGUUGGAGUUCCCCUUGGUUACAAAGCUGGUAAAAUAUCACCUUCUUUCUCUCUAGUCAGGACUUUCUCUUGUCUCUGACCCAGUUGCCACAGGUCCAGGUCCAUCAGCAAUUCAGCUUUCAGAAAGGAGGCCCACCCUCACGGGUUCAAGUACAGUCCCUAGUCUGUCACUCCCAGGCCUGUGACCCUGGGCAUAGGACCCAAGAAAGAGAGGUGAUACCCACCUCUCAGGAUUGCUGCCCAGAACAAAUAAAGUGAUGGGCUUUAUAGAAAGAGCAUAACCAUACCGUGAUCAUUUACCCUCUUUCUUGGAAGGUGGAUUCCUUCCAGAAGAUGCCCUAAGCAUUGGUCCAGCUGCCUCUCAGCCCAACCCUGACCAGCCGUGGGGAGCCACGCCCAUCCCAGAGGUAUGCCUGCUGGGUGGCAAUGGGGCCUAAGAGGACCAGGGUCUGUGGGGGUCCAUAUGCUGGCAGAGGAGCCAGCUGCUCCUCGGGUUGGGACCAAGGAGGGGAGCCAAGGUUUACCUGCCUGCUUUGCCUCAGUGAUGGCCAGAACCACGCCCAUUGGGAUGGCUGUGGUCCAGAGAGAGGGCAUCCCAUCCAGCCAGGCCCCUCUGCCAAUGAAUAUGCCUGUGAGAGGCUUAGGGGCUUGGGAAAAGGGGCUGUAUUUAAAAAUUAAAUGGUUCUCAGUGUAACAUCAGUACACGGGGCCGUGCUGAGGCAGGAGGCCUGAGGGAAUGAGGACCUCAGGCAGGACUCUCCUUCCGUGUUCCAGACAUGGUACCAUCCAGCACCUCCUUCCUCAGACUGAUGAAAGUUUGUGAUUACAUCCCCCUAGUAUUUGACUUGCCUUGUCAUUUUCUUAACACUCUCUUUUGAAGAACCAACAUUUAAAUUUUAGCAACAUCCUAUUUUUUUUUCAUUUGUGAUUCGUGCUUAUGUUUUUGCCUUGUUUAAAAAAUGCUUUGCCUCACUCAAGGUCACCAAGAUUUUCUGCUAUGUUUUCUUCAUUGUUUUGCAUAUUUAUAGUUUUCAUUCUUAUAUUUAGAUAUAGGAUCUGUUUCAAGUUAGUUUUUUUAUGUGGUGUGAGGUAAGGGUUGACGUUAAUUUCUUUGCAUUUAAGUAUCCAAUUGUUGCAGUAUUAUGUGUUGAGAAGUUUAUGACUUUCCCAUUGAAUUGCUUUGGCAACCUUGUCAAAAAGUAAUUGGCCGUAUAUGUGUAGGUCUAUUUGUGGACUCUGUUCCAUUGAUCUGUGUGUCUCUCCUUUUGCCAAUUCCACGCUGUCUUGAUCACUACAGCUUUAUGAUAGCCAUGAGUUAUAGUGUAAGUCUUCCAACUUUUGUCUUGUUUUUCAACAACAUUUUAGGCUAUGUUAAGUCCUUUGCAUCUCCACAUAAACAUUAAAACU
Molecule: long non-coding RNA, 2477 nt
Organism: Cebus imitator (Panamanian white-faced capuchin)
Lineage: Eukaryota; Metazoa; Chordata; Mammalia; Primates; Cebidae
Exons: 3
Source: RefSeq, a predicted model, not a curated record